Molecule: ribosomal RNA, 544 nt
Filed under: Fusarium culmorum
Lineage: Eukaryota; Fungi; Ascomycota; Sordariomycetes; Hypocreales; Nectriaceae
Description: eukaryotic LSU rRNA
Rfam family: 5.8S ribosomal RNA (bases 186-339)
Source: RNAcentral
CAAGGUCUCCGUUGGUGAACCAGCGGAGGGAUCAUUACCGAGUUUACAACUCCCAAACCCCUGUGAACAUACCUUAUGUUGCCUCGGCGGAUCAGCCCGCGCCCCGUAAAAAGGGACGGCCCGCCGCAGGAACCCUAAACUCUGUUUUUAGUGGAACUUCUGAGUAUAAAAAACAAAUAAAUCAAAACUUUCAACAACGGAUCUCUUGGUUCUGGCAUCGAUGAAGAACGCAGCAAAAUGCGAUAAGUAAUGUGAAUUGCAGAAUUCAGUGAAUCAUCGAAUCUUUGAACGCACAUUGCGCCCGCCAGUAUUCUGGCGGGCAUGCCUGUUCGAGCGUCAUUUCAACCCUCAAGCCCAGCUUGGUGUUGGGAGCUGCAGUCCUGCUGCACUCCCCAAAUACAUUGGCGGUCACGUCGAGCUUCCAUAGCGUAGUAAUUUACAUAUCGUUACUGGUAAUCGUCGCGGCCACGCCGUUAAACCCCAACUUCUGAAUGUUGACCUCGGAUCAGGUAGGAAUACCCGCUGAACUUAAGCAUAUCAAUAA